This is a long non-coding RNA of Scylla paramamosain (green mud crab), 667 nucleotides long. RefSeq lists it as uncharacterized. Lineage: Eukaryota; Metazoa; Arthropoda; Malacostraca; Decapoda; Portunidae. The record is from RefSeq and is a predicted model, not a curated record. The transcript is spliced from 3 exons.
ACGUCAGGCAACACCAGCUCCAUGCCGAGCGCCAUGAUGGUUCACUGCCUUGCCAGCGCCGCACCUGAGACAGAAAAGGGUACCGGCCGGCGAGCCACAAUGCUUUGCUUGGUAUUCAGGAAGGAGGGAUUGGAUUCUGUGUUAUGCUUUACCUCCAGGACCUGUCCCGCCUUUACUUCCUCGAAAUGGCAUGGCUGCGUGCAGUCCUUGACUUUGUGAUGAUUUAGGCCGCUCGGCCUCAGCUACAUGGAUGGCUGGCAUGCCUUUUGGGCUACAGGCACAUAUGGAUGCUAAGAAUCUUCCAUAAGGUCAGUGAAUGGAAGAGGUGAGCUCAUUGCCCCAAGUUCAAGUCCCACUAGAGGCUAGUCACUUUUCAAGCCAUCAAGUAACCAAAAGUCAUCUAUAUGCUGCCUAUCAUCACUAUCUUUGAGUGGAAAUGCAACAAGGGUCUAAUUUUGUAGCAUGGGCCCCUAUAAUGCAUCACUUUAAAAACCUUGUUUGUGACAUCAGGGAUCAGGGAGUUACAUACUUAUGAAAUCCCUCCAAUAACUGAUGCAUGAGUGAGUCCUGAAGGUGAUAUGUUAAAUGGUCCUGCAUUACUACAGGGUAUAAAGUAAACUGAACUAAAUACAACAACCUUUCAAGACUGAAUAUCACUUACUUGAGA